GAUGAACGCUGGCGGCGUGCUUAACACAUGCAAGUCGAACGAUGAAGCCCAGCUUGUUGGGUGGGUUCGUGGCGAACGGGUGAGUGAAACGUGAGUAACCUGCCCUUAACUCUGGGAUAAGCCUGGGAAACUGGGUGUAAUACAGGAUAGGAGAGCCUACCGCAUGGUGGGUGUUGGGAAGAUUUAUCGGUUUUGGAUGGACUCGCGGCCUAUAAGCUUGUUGGUGAGGUAAUGGCUCACCAAGGCGACGACGGGUAGCCGGCCUGAGAGGGUGACCGGCCACACUGGGACUGAGACACGGCCCAGACUCCUACGGGAGGCAGCAGUGGGGAAUAUUGCACAAUGGGCGAAAGCCUGAUGCAGCGACGCCGCGUGAGGGAUGACGGCCUUCGGGUUGUAAACCUCUUUCAGUAGGGAAGAAGCGAAAGUGACGGUACCUGCAGAAGAAGCACCGGCUAACUACGUG
Molecule: ribosomal RNA, 466 nt
Filed under: uncultured bacterium
Lineage: Bacteria
Description: partial 16S ribosomal RNA
Rfam family: Bacterial small subunit ribosomal RNA
Source: RNAcentral